CGGUAGCCAUCUUCGUGCAUAGGCAAACAUUGUAGCUAGACUGUACAAAGUAUAUCAAGAUAUGCCAAAUAUUGAGCUUAACUUCACCUGUUUGAGAGAUGUUCCUCUUGAACAGUUCAGACAAAUGUUAAUUUCAGUAAGAACUGCAUUAACAAGAUGAGAAAAAUGGAGUGUUGUGAACUACUUGUCAUGGGAUAACCAAAAUUAAACCUGGAAUCUCAGAAGAAACAAAUUGUUUGAAGAAGUUGGAUGUGCUUUUUUAAAAUUUUUCAUUCAACUAAAACUUUGUGAACUGUUUCUUGGUUGUGGUCUUCUCUAAAUUUUAAUCUUUGGCAUUCACUUCCAAAGUAUCCCCCACUAAACUUCAUAACAUUUAUUGUGUCUCUUCAUCAUUAAACUUUGAUGAAUUUACAGA
This 415-nucleotide long non-coding RNA is filed under the name Gorilla gorilla gorilla (western lowland gorilla). RNAcentral's name for it is "lncRNA (ENSGGOG00000044328.1)". The record is from RNAcentral. Lineage: Eukaryota; Metazoa; Chordata; Mammalia; Primates; Hominidae.